Molecule: ribosomal RNA, 460 nt
Filed under: uncultured bacterium
Lineage: Bacteria
Description: partial 16S ribosomal RNA
Rfam family: Bacterial small subunit ribosomal RNA
Source: RNAcentral
CCUACGGGAGGCAGCAGUGAGGAAUAUUGGUCAAUGGACGAGAGUCUGAACCAGCCAAGUAGCGUGAAGGAUGACUGCCCUAUGGGUUGUAAACUUCUUUUAUAUGGGAAUAAAACGUUCCACGUGUGGGAUUUUGUAUGUACCAUAUGAAUAAGGAUCGGCCAACUCCGUGCCAGCAGCCGCGGUAAUACGGAGGAUCCGAGCGUUAUCCGGAUUUAUUGGGUUUAAAGGGAGCGUAGGUGGUUUGUUAAGUCAGGUGUGAAAGUGUGGGGCUCAACCGUAAAAUUGCAGUUGAAACUGGCAGUCUUGAGUAAAGGAGAGGUGAGCGGAAUGCGUGGUGUAGCGGUGAAAUGCUUAGAUAUCGCGAAGAACUCCGAUUGCGAAGGCAGUUCACUGGACUGCAACUGACGCUGAGGCACGAAAGUGUGGGUAUCGAACAGGAUUAGAUACCCCUGUAGUC